UGGCGGACGGGUGAGUAACGCGUGGGUAACCUGCCUCAUACAGGGGGAUAACAGUUAGAAAUGACUGCUAAUACCGCAUAAGACCACAGCACCGCAUGGUGCAGGGGUAAAAACUCCGGUGGUAUGAGAUGGACCCGCGUCCGAUUAGGUAGUUGGUGGGGUAACGGCCUACCAAGCCGACGAUCAGUAGCCGACCUGAGAGGGUGACCGGCCACAUUGGGACUGAGACACGGCCCAA
RNAcentral lists this ribosomal RNA (238 nucleotides) under uncultured bacterium. RNAcentral's name for it is "partial 16S ribosomal RNA". It matches the Rfam family "Bacterial small subunit ribosomal RNA", at positions 96 to 334 of the family's 1533-position model. The record is from RNAcentral.